GUGAGUGGCGAACUGGUGAGUAACACGUGGGAAACCUGCCCAGAAGCGGGGGAUAACACCUGGAAACAGAUGCUAAUACCGCAUAACAACUUGGACCGCAUGGUCCGAGUUUGAAAGAUGGCUUCGGCUAUCACUUUUGGAUGGUCCCGCGGCGUAUUAGCUAGAUGGUGGGGUAACGGCUCACCAUGGCAAUGAUACGUAGCCGACCUGAGAGGGUAAUCGGCCACAUUGGGACUGAGACACGGCCCAAACUCCUACGGGAGGCAGCAGUAGGGAAUCUUCCACAAUGGACGAAAGUCUGAUGGAGCAACGCCGCGUGAGUGAAGAAGGGUUUCGGCUCGUAAAACUCUGUUGUUAAAGAAGAACAUAUCUGAGAGUAACUGUUCAGGUAUUGACGGUAUUUAACCAGAAAGCCACGGCUAACUACGUGCCAGCAGCCGCGGUAAUACGUAGGUGGCAAGCGUUGUCCGGAUUUAUUGGGCGUAAAGCGAGCGCAGGCGGUUUUUUAAGUCUGAUGUGAAAGCCUUCGGCUCAACCGAAGAAGUGCAUCGGAAACUGGGAAACUUGAGUGCAGAAGAGGACAGUGGAACUCCAUGUGUAGCGGUGAAAUGCGUAGAUAUAUGGAAGAACACCAGUGGCGAAAGCGGCUGUCUGGUCUGUAACUGACGCUGAGGCUCGAAAGUAUGGGUAGCAACAGAUUAGAUACCCUGGUAGUCCAUACCGUAACGAUGAUGCUAGUGUUGAGGUUUCGUCCUCAGUGCUGCAGCUACGCAUAGCAUCCGCCUGG
RNAcentral lists this ribosomal RNA (787 nucleotides) under Lactiplantibacillus plantarum. RNAcentral describes it as "bacterial SSU rRNA". It matches the Rfam family "Bacterial small subunit ribosomal RNA", at positions 91 to 876 of the family's 1533-position model. The record is from RNAcentral. Lineage: Bacteria; Bacillati; Bacillota; Bacilli; Lactobacillales; Lactobacillaceae.